Molecule: non-coding RNA, 1118 nt
Organism: Vicugna pacos (alpaca)
Lineage: Eukaryota; Metazoa; Chordata; Mammalia; Artiodactyla; Camelidae
Source: RefSeq, a predicted model, not a curated record
GAAGGCGGAUAGGCUGACACCAGGAGUGAGCAGAACAAGGGGGGAGAGCGAAUGAGGAGGCAGACAGGAAUAACGAAAAGAAGAACAACAUGAAGAAUAACUUAAAACUGUCUAAAGAUGUGGCCUUGCUUAGCCCGUCUCUCAGCCCGAAACAGGUCCAUGUUAAGUUCUUACAAGAAUACCCACCCCGCUCGCAUCAGUCUCAAAGGGACCGCUUAACUCACCAUCCCAAGAGGAUCAGGAGGACUGGUUGUAGUUUGUGGUUCUAUCUAGAUUGAUCUCUAAUCCUGAGGACUCCGAAGACAACAGAGCGGUAAACACGCUAGCAACUAGCACCUGACAAUCGAGCUAAGUCCCGUCCACCGAAGCUGGAUUUCUUGUGGCUUUAACAGUAUUCAAGGAUGAUUGACAGCGGGUCUGACCAAUCCCAUCAGGGGAACCCCACUUGCCUAACUGGGGCCUAGUUGGCGCCAAAAGUGAAAACCGAACACGCGAAAUGAUCUGUGAUCAAUACAUUUCCCAAAGUUUGGGUAAUUCUCUAUGGAACAUUGGCAAGGUUGUUUCGUGCCAAGACUGGCACAGUUCCUGCGCUAACACCACUGGGUAGUAGUGAAAGUUCUGACUCUCCCUGGGGUCUCCUCAACACCAUCCCAGUGCGGAGGGUGGGGGGCGCCAGGCUCCCCACGUGAGCGGGGACAGGUGGGAGAAGCGGGAUGGCAGCCUCCAGGUAGCCUGCCCAGGCUGAUGUGGAUGAGGGGUGGGGCGCAGUUUUUCCAUGGCAUUUGGCUAGACUGUAUCACUUACAUAAAAUGUUCUGUAGUGCUAGGUUGCCCCUUUUCUGAUCCUUUGUCUAGAGAGAGAAGAAUUUUGAGGGUCCUUAUUUGUCUGUGCCGGUUGGCGUUUCACACAUAUCUUUUCCCAAUAUUGUGAAUGGGGUGCUGCUUUUUCCUGUUUCUGUUUCUAGUAUUGCUAGAUAAAAGAACGCUAUUGGAGUAGAAGAAUAGAUUGUUAGUUCUAAAAUCUAUGUGAUGGGUAUAUUGAUGUUCACUGUGAAAUUUUUUCAACUUUUCUUUAUAAACUUUGAAACUAUAUAAUAAAUGUUGGAAAAUAAAACAAAA